Molecule: ribosomal RNA, 458 nt
Filed under: uncultured bacterium
Lineage: Bacteria
Description: partial 16S ribosomal RNA
Rfam family: Bacterial small subunit ribosomal RNA
Source: RNAcentral
CCUACGGGAGGCAGCAGUGAGGAAUAUUGGUCAAUGGGCGCGAGCCUGAACCAGCCAAGUCGCGUGAGGGAAGACGGUCCUAUGGAUUGUAAACCUCUUUUGCGGGGAGCAAAAGACGCCACGCGUGGCGUUCCGAGAGUACCCGAAGAAAGAGCAUCGGCUAACUCCGUGCCAGCAGCCGCGGUAAUACGGAGGAUGCGAGCUUUAUCCGGAUUUCUUGGGGUUAAAGGGUGCGCAGGCGGAAGAUAAAGUAAGCGGUAAAAUUGAGAGGCUCAACCUCUUCGAGCCGUUGAAACUGGUUUUCUGGAGUGAGUGAGAAGUAUGCGGAAUGCGUGGUGUAGCGGUGAAAUGCAUAGAUAUCACGCAGAACUCCGAUUGCGAAGGCAGCAUACCGGCGCUCAACUGACGUUCAGGCACGAAAGUGUGGGUAGCGAACAGGAUUAGAUACCCGUGUAGUC